This 2179-nucleotide long non-coding RNA is filed under the name Marmota monax (woodchuck). Lineage: Eukaryota; Metazoa; Chordata; Mammalia; Rodentia; Sciuridae. The record is from RNAcentral.
UCAGAUACUACAACCACAGCGAGGGUGCUAAGUGACCGCGGGCCUGAGUCAUCCCGGAUGCCCAGGUCCGAGGAACACCUCGAAGUGACCCUAGACCCGGAAAAGGCCCCUGAGGAGUCCUAGCCAGUUUCAUUUUCAGUUUAGGUAGCAAUCCCUUCGGCUGGGCCUGGUGGGGUGGGGUUAAGUGGGCAGGACUGACUGACGGGCGGGCCGGGCUCUCAAGACCUUCAGAGAAUGUCAGGCUGUGCUCUUUGAUCUGUCGCGCGCCUCUUCCGCGGUUAUGAUCAGGACGCCUAGGAUGGCAUGGAUUACAUCGCCCUGAGCUUCUGGGUUGCAGCAGACACCCCUGCUCAAACCACCUGGCCCAAGUGGGAAGCGGCAGAUGUGGCCAAACGCGCAAGACCCCGUGUGUGGAGUGGCACAACAGAAAAUGUGGGAAGAACAUGCUGCAAUGAGCAGGUACUACGAGCUGCGGGGUGUGGCCUCAACUGUUUCUAGAUCUCUCCGCAAGAAAAUAGAUACUUCCCACCUUCUGGAGGAAGGAGCCCUCUUAGUUUUCCAGAUGCUGUGCUAAAGAGUGAUUCUGAGGCCUGCCCUUCUCUCAAGAAAACUAAGAUAGGCUCUUCGUGGUUGGAGGGGAAACAGGACCCUGAAAUUACUGUAACCAACAGUUCUGGUUGACUCUGGCCUCAGCCUUGGGCCUCACAGGGCUACACAGUCUUCCUGUUGGGCUUUGUUCUCUGCCCCAAGCUGGUGUCUUUGGAGGUUUGACUCAAGUUUUUAUGAUUCUCUCUUAAUCCAUCGAGGUCGGAACUCCUAAACUCUCAGGUGCUUAGAUAAUCUUACUGUGGACUGUCCCAAACUCAUUAUAGAAUUUUCCAAGGAACAGAUUAUCCCAGAAGCAUGGGUCCAGGCUGGUUCUGGGUUUUAGGGCUGCUUCAGUGGCCCAGGAGAGGUAAUAACAGAUUGUCUGAAUUUUCCUCUUCUUCCUCUCAGACUCCCCCACAAAGACACAGGUGACUCACCACCCUACCCAUGAAGGAGAUGUCACCCUGAGGUCCUGGGCCCUGGUCUUCUACCCUAAAGAGAUCACCCUGAUCUGGCAGCGGGAUGGGGAGGACAAACUCAGGACAUGGAGCUUGUGGAGACCAGGCCUGCAGGGGAUGAAAAGUUUCAGAAGUGGGCAGCUGUAGUAAAGCCUUCUGGAGAGGAGAACAGAUACAUGUGCCUUGUGCAUCAUGAGCCCCUCACCCUGAGAUGGAGUAAGUAAGGGGAUGAGGGUGCUGGGCUGUUGAGAGCCACAGCCCAAGCGGCCCCAGCAAACUUCCAGCUGAUUGGCUCACCGUGGCCCUAGCAAACUUCCAGCUGCCAGCUGAUAGGCUCCUCUGCGGUGAUGCUCGUUGGUGUAGUUACACCUGAUCAAACUUUUACAUUUUGAGUACCCAAAUAAUCAGCUCAAAAGGUAGAGCUUAAUGCAGUAUUACAAGCUUUUGUGAUGUUUAAAGAUUCUGUAUUUAAUUUAUUUUCCGAUAGUCAGUAUAUAGUUAAUGCUAUAGUAUCCCUUGAAGCUGCUGGUAGGAUUUCCCCUUCCUCUACUGUUUUCUCUUUGUUUUCCACUAUACAAAGUCUAAUCUGGGACAGAAAAGAUCCAUUCUUUAUAAGACAUAUCAGGGCACAUACAGGAUUGCCUGGAGCCCUUAGUUUGGGCAAUGAUUUAGCAGAUAAAACUACACAUGACAUACAUAUUUUCUCUACACUAGAAGAAGCUACAAUUGUGAACAAACAGGACAUUUUAAAAGGAAUUGCCCCAUAGGAGGAGGAUUUAACAAAACUAGGUAUCAAAGGAGUAGAAUACCAGGUAUUUGCCCACGAUGCCAUAGAGGGAGACAUUGGGCUAAUGAAUGCCGCAGUCUGGCUGGGCAUAAUUCAGGAGCCACUUAUCAAGCAGAAACAAACUUUAUUUUUAGAACACACCCUGCACCACAGGAGCUCUUCAGGAAUUCCCUCAGAGCCCAACUGCUACCACCAGCUUACAGCAAGCCUCUCAAACCCCCACUCCUCCUGCUCUUGAGGCUGAUUGGCUGGGUCGCGUGGGCAGAGCCAAGAGUGCCCCAAUGAGCAGCUCCAUGGUCUGAAAGGGCGGGGAAACAGCUCAAUGAGCGUCACCCCAGAGGAGCCA